Molecule: RNase P RNA, 307 nt
Filed under: Thermoproteota archaeon
Lineage: Archaea; Thermoproteati; Thermoproteota
Description: Crenarchaeota archaeon (sediment metagenome) RNase P RNA component
Rfam family: Archaeal RNase P
About the family: Ribonuclease P (RNase P) is a ubiquitous endoribonuclease, found in archaea, bacteria and eukarya as well as chloroplasts and mitochondria. Its best characterised activity is the generation of mature 5'-ends of tRNAs by cleaving the 5'-leader elements of precursor-tRNAs.
Source: RNAcentral
AAGGUGUAUUGAACGCCUCUCGGGCGUAAGCCUGAGGAAAGUCCUCUGUCGUUAGGGGGUUUGUGAUGCCGCAAGGCAUAGGCCGGAAGGCCUGGUAGACCACAGAAAUGGCACGAGCGUGGCUAGAUGUCUAUGAUGGCGAUGCUACUUCGGCGACGAAGUAGCUAGCUUGAGUAUAGCCAUUGCUCGGUGAAACAUGAUCCCCCGCAAAGACAAAGGUCGGGGUGAGCUAUGAGCACCCCCUACGAGCUCUCCGACCGACUAGAUGAAUGGCGUUGAAACAAAAAGAGGCUUACAAAUACACCUU